Molecule: ribosomal RNA, 467 nt
Filed under: uncultured bacterium
Lineage: Bacteria
Description: partial 16S ribosomal RNA
Rfam family: Bacterial small subunit ribosomal RNA
Source: RNAcentral
GACGAACGCUGGCGGCGUGCUUAACACAUGCAAGUCGAACGGAAAGGCCUCUUUCGGGGGGUACUCGAGUGGCGAACGGGUGAGUAACACGUGAGUAACCUGCCCUUGACUUUGGGAUAACUUCAGGAAACUGGGGCUAAUACCGGAUAGGAGCUCCUGCUGCAUGGUGGGGGUUGGAAAGUUUCGGCGGUUGGGGAUGGACUCGCGGCUUAUCAGCUUGUUGGUGGGGUAGUGGCUUACCAAGGUUUUGACGGGUAGCCGGCCUGAGAGGGUGACCGGCCACAUUGGGACUGAGAUACGGCCCAGACUCCUACGGGAGGCAGCAGUGGGGAAUAUUGCACAAUGGGUGGAAGCCUGAUGCAGCAACGCCGUGUGCGGGAUGACGGCCUUCGGGUUGUAAACCGCUUUCGCUCAUGACGAAGCUUUGUGUGACGGUAGUGGGUAAAGAAGCACCGGCUAACUACGUG